AUUUCAAAGUGAGGCUCUGUGAGUAAUAGGAUGCUGUCCGCUGCCUGAAAGGCAAGGAGGCAGGAAGACAAUCAAAAUGAAAGAUCGGCAUUGCCUGGACACAGAUCUCACUCUGAGAUGGAGUUCCGAGGGGAGUCAUGGAAAGAUGAGAGUCCCAAAGCUGUAAGAGAGAAAACUACUUGAGCAGAGGCCCCGGCUGGGCUGGUGGCCCCAAGGCUGACUGCGGUGUGUGCUCCUCCCUCAGGACGCCAUUGCCUUGCUUGACAUCUCCUGGGCAAGUCUCCACAGAACCUCUUAUCAAACUCCAAAGUCAUCUUCUUCCACACGUGCAGAGGCCUGCUCAUCUUUUCUACUACAGAGGAGGUUCAGGUACCUGUCUACAAGCAAAACUGUUGUCUCACUCAGAGAGAGUAACUAAAUAUUUGCCUCCAAAAAUUUUUAUCUCUCUGCCCCAGAACUGAUCUCUUGCAACAGUAAUUUAUAAGAGAUAUUCCAUCUCCAACCCACUGGAAGUUAGUCUUGCCCUAAGAGUUGUAAAUCCAAUGACAAGCAUAUUAUAAGAGACACACAGAGGAAAGGUAGGCACAAUAGUAGGAAGCAACUGACCAGAGAGGCAGAGAUUGGAGUGAUGCAGCCAUAAGCCAAAGGCCAGCUGGAGCUGCCAGAAGCUGGAAGAGGCAAAGGAAGAAAGUAUCUGCUGCUUUGGAGGCACUAAAAGGACACCUUGAUUUUGGACUUCCCGCCUCUAGAAUAUGAAAGAACACAUUUCUGUUAUUUUAAACCACCAGUUGGUGGUAAGUUUUUACAUCAGUCUCAGAAAACUAAUUUAAAAACUUUAAAGUAUCAAUAGAUGGAUACUUAUGUAUUAUGACGAAAAGUAUCUAUCUGCCAACGCUGGACUCUGUAAGUGCUCAAAAUAUAACUGCAACUUAUCCUGGAUAGAGCAAAGGAUUUGAUUGCUAAAUCUUUUGGACCAAUCAUGAGUUUAUGACAGUGGACAAGUUUGCUUGUAGGUAAACCUCAAUUUCUUCAUCUCUAAAACAUGGUUAACAAAACACCAUUCACAGAGAGUAAUUAUUACAACUUGACAUAAUGCAUUAAAAAGUUUACACAGUUCCCAGCAUAUAAUAAGCACGUGAUAAAUAUAUUCCAGACACACAAGGACAUGGUACCUGGGGCCACGCUGAUUGAUAUCUGGCAGCUUCUAACUUCGUUAUGUGGUUCAGUAAGACAAGCGCUAUUGUACAAAAGUAAGCUAACAAAAAAGCUUAAACCAAAGUUUAUUUUUUUCUUUAUAUGACUCAAAAAGAAAUAACAUCAAAGAAAAAUCAGUUACAAUUACAAAAUGACUAAACUACAAGAAAAGUGUAAGGACCUUUUGUAUCGGCUAUGAAUGAGAACAUACUUUCCCAAAUGCUGUCUUUAAAAGCUGUGAAUACAAGAGAAAAGCACUGCCGUACACCCAGGUGCUCUCUGUGGGCGUGCUCUGCAGAUGACUUGGGGUUAGGAAAGUGAGUUUCUAGAAUUCUUGGCUUGUGCAUCUGAGAGGUACUUUCCUCGGCUUGUUUGUUUUGCGUGAAGAGUUGCUAGGAAUGAUUCAGAAUGUACAUGUUUGUGUAGUGAAAGUCCUGAGGUUCUGGCAUCCAGUGGGGGUCCUGGCCCCUGUAGAAAGUCUUCUUUCUCACGUGGGAGCUGGCUGCUCCCCGGAAGUGGGUAUAAAAGACAGCAUUCCUCUCAUUCCCAACCAAACAGGUCUCUCACAGAGAGGGAAAUAAAUGUCCCACUGGCCUAUGUGGAAAAGGGCCUAUUUCCAUUCCCCAGGCACUUCUACAACUGCCCUGAUGUCUGGAAGAGCCUUAGGGAUUGGUGAAAAUACAACUGAUUUUCUAGUAGAAAUAUAGCUUCUCUCCAGAAGGUCUAUUCCACCUGAGCAAGAAGCUGGUUCUUUAGGCUGAGGAGAUGGUAUGGAGACUGUCUUAGUCUGUUUUGUGCUGCUAUAACAAAAUACCAGAGACUGAAUAAUUUGUAAAUAACAGAAAUGUAUUCCUCACAGUUCUGGAGGCUGGGAGGUCGAAGACCAAGUUGCCAGUAGAUUUGAUGUCUGGUGAGGGCUACUCUCCGUUUCUAAGGUGGCACCUCGUUACUUCAUCUUCCAGAAGAUACAAAGGAUGUGUCCUCACAUGACAGAAGGCUAAGUGAGCUGAAAGCUGCUUGAAGUCUCUUCUAUAAAGGCCUCAAUUCCAUUCUUAAGAGAGGGGCCCUCAUAGCUUGAUCACCUCUUAAAGGUCUCAUCUCUUAAUACCACCACAUUAGCCAUUAAAAUUCAACACCUGAAGUUGGAGGGGACCCAUUCAAACCAUAGCAGGGAUUGCCUCUCCUGUCCUCCCACUCAUCAGUGAAAGGACGCCUCUGUCCCUCUCUCCUAUUUCUGGACCUAUUAGAUUUAAGGACAUUUAGAAAGGGAGAAAUGGCUGAGGAAGUUAAAAAAAAUGGUUUGAUAAACUAUGGAAUAAAAAUAAUCUCCAUAGAAUUUAAUUGGUACUUUUUACUUGAGGGAAAUCCACAUGGCCCCAGUUAGCAUGAUUAUUUUUGGUCAUGCUUACAUCUAUGCUUGCAAGAAUAUUAAUUUUUUAUUUGGCUGAGAAGCCAUGAAAUGUCUAUCUUUAUGUUUCCCGUUUGGUUAUUCAUCCUAUGCAUUAGGCAAAACACAAAGAAACCUAAAGACACCAGUAGAUGGUCCAAGUGGGGAGGCAAACACUGGCAACUGACAUAUCUUGCUAUGUGUAAAAAACUAUGCUCACGUUGCUCUGUUUUAUUCCACAGGUUGUGCUAUUAGAGAUUAGAGAAGUUAAUGUAAGUGCAGCUUCCUCACAAAAAAUGCAGGACACACAAGGGCUGCUUUCAGCAUUCUGCUUGAUUGUGCACAGCCUAGAUGCAGAGCACUCAGGAGCACACAGGAGGGUAAUAAAAAUCACACCCACCAUGCUUUCUGGUUUGCAAAAGCCCUUUGGGAAUGUCAUCUCACCUGCCUGAAUGCAGUGCUCGCUCUCGCUACCUCUGCUUCUCACAGUGGGGUUCUCCUUCCAGAUCCUGGUGUCCAGGAGAAACCUAGACAUGGUCUUUAUCACAUUCAGACACUUCUCCAUCUGCAUGAGCAAGUACAGGAUAAGGUGUUAUGUUUUACUAUCUUUGUACUGUCAGGGAUGCAGAUGGAUAAGUGGUAUUUUGGCACUAAUUUGCAAAGCUAAAGGCCCCAGCUCCUAGUUACAAAGAAUUUUUUUGCUUCUCUUUAGUGGUUUCCAUAGCAGUGUGCUUCUCCCCACAGAACACGCUCUGGAAGAAUUAGCACAAGAGUUUUGGAGAUGAUACUACUUGUUUCAUUUUAGAGUGCUUACCCUUUGACAAUAGCUGCGUUCUUUGCUACAUCUGAGGUUCAUGAUAUUUUUAUACCAACUCAAGAGCUCAAUUUAAAAUACUGUCCAAAAUAACAUCUCAUCCAAACUUGGAAAUCUUGGGGAAAAAAAACCAACCAUUAUGAAACUUUUAAUCCACUCUAUAAUUUCAAGGGAUAAAAAGCUCUUUAUGUGAAAAUGUAUUGAUAACAUUUUGCCAGCCACACAAGGACUCGAAUCUUUCCCAUGAUAAAAGGUUUCUUCACCCAUUGGGAAGAUGUGUUUGCUCCUUAUUUCAUUCAACAAACACUUACUACACAUAAGGUACAUGCCAGCAUUGCUUCAACCCUUGGAGAUACACAGCCCUAGGACAUUGUCCUCAAAGAACAGCAAGAGUGUAGUGUGAGAUUUUUUAAAAAGGAAAAGACUAAGGCACUAUGGCAGUGGUUGAGGGAGGGCUUUCCAGUGUCUGUGGAAUAUGAGGGAGGGGCACAGAGGUGGGGGUGGCGGUCCUCACUCCUCCGUCUGCGUUGAGGGUCAAAAGAGGAAAUAUACCAGCAUGAGCUGGAUUUGUACUAUAAGCCAGACACUGCACUGUGCUGGUUGACACUCCGGCCUAACACCUUUCAAGUAUGUUUGUACAUAUAGAUUUUAAGAAUUCAACAAUUCUAGGAGGUAGCUAGCCUUAAUCCCAUUUUCCAAAUGAUAAAACUUGGGCCAAAAGUGUUCCAAAUAUAUCCCUCACCCAUCCCAUUCUAAAGCCAAGUAUUGUCACCAAUCUUCAAAAAUAUGUAGGAAUUGGCCAGAUUUCACCAUGAGCAAAUGGACAAAUGCCCAAAUUAGCAAAAGUCGGGGUUUAAUUUUUGAAUUAAAAUUAAUUCAGGAUUAAUUAGGAUUAAUUAAUUAGGAUUGAGAUGAGAAAGUAGCAGGGGCAGAUUGGGCAACCCUCGUAUGCUUCAGUCAGGAAGGAAAACUAAAUGUGGGUUGGUGCCGAAGGAUUUUAUAAUGGGGAUGGAUGUUUUUAGGAGACAGCAGGUAGAGACUGCAUUGACAGGUGAAAAUAGGAAGCUGUUGCCCAGGGAAGACCCCUUCAUGCACUGGCUAUGAGAUGCAGAGGAGUUAUUGUUGUACUGGCUUCAUGAUUCUUCAGGUACCAAAUUCUGAAAACAGCAUUGGGUUUAGUUCUGGAGGCCCGGGUGAUCCCUUCCUUCCAAUCAAUUGCUCUUCCUUCUGUGGAAGAACUGAAUAAAGAGGGAACUUUCCAUGAGGCUGAAAUGUCAUCCUUUGAUCUCCAAUCCACUAUGCACCUGGCCUGGACUAGCCUCAUGACACCAGGAUAGGACCUAAUUCCAGCAUUCAAGCAACUCCAUGUCUGUACAUAUAAAACAUGAUUAAGAGGCAAUUAAAUAAGGACCACCACCCCUUCUGCCUGGCUGGACAGCAGCCCUGGAGGGCAGUCAGGUCCCUGGUGGCUGCUCCUGCUGCUGCUCAGCACCAGGUAGGCACAGUGGUCCAGGAGGACUGUAGCCUCCACACUCCUAGACUGGGAAAGCCCCCAUGUGGAGGCUCCCACUUUGCAAGGGAUUUGGGGGAUUGCCUCUACAGGAGGCUUUUCAAAUAUGCACCAAGUGUAGACAGUUCUGCAGGCCUGGGACUUCUGGACAUCCUGGACUUUCGUCUUUCAGGCUCAGCUCAGGUGCAAUGGGUAGGCAGAGGCUUUGUUAGUGCUUUGAACCUCCUGGGACCUACUAGGAGUUAGCAACUGUCAUGUCCACAGCAAACCCUUGCUGCUUAUGUCCUUGGACCUUGGGUACAUGGCUCAUCUGGAGGCUAGAGGGUGAGCAGAUCCUGAACAGGGUGCAGUUGGGAGGUCCAACACCCCUCCUGGGCUCAAUCAGUCACCUCCUUCCUGGUUAUGGCUGGGACCAGGGCCCUAGGACCCUGGAACUGUGUGACCUGGGGCCUGAGACCCAGGCACUGAGACCUCAAGCUGUGACCAGGAGCUGCACCCAGGGAGCUGGUUGGGCAGGUGGAAUUCGGGGCACAAUCUUUGCCAGCUUUAUCUUCCUGAGCAAUGCAGAAUAAGAACAGGGAUAUGGGCUUCUCUGUCUGAUUUCUGAGUAAAAGGGAACUGUCUAUAUUUUCACCGUUAUGUAUGAUAUUUGCUAUAGAUUGCCAGUUUUCCUAUUUCAAAAGUACUCAGUUUUUAUACUAGUGGAUUAUGAAUCUUAUAUGUAAUUUUUCUGCAUCUAUUAUGAAUAUUUUUCCUUUUGACAUCUAUGUAUAUGGUAAGUUUGUUAACACAUUUGUAAUGUUGUUAUUUCAACCUUUAAUUCCUGAAAUAUAACAAAUUUGGCAUUGUCUAUUGUAUUUUUUUUUUUUUUGAGAUGGAGUCUUGCUCUGUUGCCCAGGCUGCAGUGCAGUGGCACAAUCUUGGCCCACUGCAACCUCCGCCUCCUGGGUUCAAGCGAUUCUCCUGCCUCAGCCUCCUGAGUAGUUGGGAUCACAGGUGUGCGCGACCAUGCCUGGGUAAUUUUUAUAUUUUUAGUAGAGAUGGGGUUUCACCAUGUUGGUCAGGCUGGUGUCAAACUCCUGACCUCACUAUCUGCCCGCCUCAGCCCCCCAAAGUGCUGGGAUUACAGGCUUGAGCCACCUUGCCCGGCUGGUCUAUUGUAUUUUUAUGUAUAUUACUUAGAUUCAAUUUCCCAAUAUUUUGCUAAGGAAAUUUUUGCAUCCUCAUUCAGGAAUGAAAUAGCCUGCAGUUUACUUUUCUUUUGCUUCUCUUAUAUAAUUUUUAUUAAGGUUUUGAUAUGAAAGCUUAAAUUUUUACAUCUCAUAAAUGGACAUAGUGAGUGUUCUCUUAUUUUCUGUUGCCUUAAAGACUUUGUGUAAGAUUAAAAUAAUCUACUUAAUAUUUUGUAGAGCCCACCCAGAAAACUGCCUGAGUGUGAUGUUUUCUCUGUAGAAAGAUUAUUAACUAAGGAUUUCUUAAGUAUGUGUUAUUAAACUAGUUGUGGUUUCUAUUCUUCCUUAACCUAAUUUUGUUCAAUAGUAUUUUUGAGAGGUUCGUAUAAUGAAAAGUUGUCCAUUUUAGGGUAGACAGGCCUCCACAAUAUUCUCUUACUAUCUUUUUGAGAGAUUUGAUUUUGGCUAUAGUGAUCUUCAUUUGCAUAUCUCAUCUUUUACCUAUUACCUUACUGCCCUUAUUUUCUUUGGUUUGAUUGCUUUCUGAAAUCUCAGCCUUUUAUUCUAGCAUGUAUUUCAGACAACACAUUUUUUUCCUAAAAUACUAUUUUAGCUAUAUCUUCAAAUUUUUAAUUAGAGUAUUUUGUUACCAUUCAUUUCCAAGUAUUGUGUGAUUUCCCUUAUGCAAUCUUCUACGAUCAACUUUAAAGUGUGGUUUAAAUUUUCUAAACAUAUCUUAGGUUAUUUCUUGUUAUCGUCCUUUAACUAUAUUUUAGAGCCAUAUUUGUGUUUAGAUAUGCAAUAUAAUAUAUGUGAUGAUCC
This is a long non-coding RNA of Pongo pygmaeus (Bornean orangutan), 6899 nucleotides long. RefSeq lists it as uncharacterized. Lineage: Eukaryota; Metazoa; Chordata; Mammalia; Primates; Hominidae. The record is from RefSeq and is a predicted model, not a curated record. The transcript is spliced from 3 exons.